RNAcentral lists this ribosomal RNA (497 nucleotides) under uncultured bacterium. Its description in RNAcentral is "partial 16S ribosomal RNA". It matches the Rfam family "Bacterial small subunit ribosomal RNA", at positions 28 to 507 of the family's 1533-position model. The record is from RNAcentral.
GAUGAACGCUGGCGGCGUGCCUAAUACAUGCAAGUCGAGCGAACGGACGAUAAGCUUGCUUCUCUGAUGUUAGCGGCGGACGGGUGAGUAACACGUGGAUAACCUACCUAUAUGACUGGGAUAACUUCGGGAAAACGGAUCUAAUACCGGCUAAUAUUUUGAACCGCAUGGUUCAAAAGUGAAUGACGGUCUUGCUGUCUCUUAUAGAUGAAUCCGCGCUACAUUAGCUAGUUGGUAAGGUAACAGCUUACCAAGGCAACGAUGCGUAGCCGACCUGAGAGGGUGAUCGGCCACACUGGAACUGAGACACGGUCCAGACUCCUACGGGAGGCAGCAGUAGGGAAUCUUGCGCAAUGGGCGAAAGCCUGACGGAGCAACGCCGCGUGAGUGAUGAAGGUCUUCGGAUCGUAAAACUCUGUUAUUAGGGAAGAACAUAUGUGUAAGUAACUGUGGACAUCUUGACGGUACCUAAUCAAAAAGCCACGGCUAACUACGUG